AACUCUAUGCAGUAGAAUACUCGGUUCGUGUGUCGAUGGAGGGUGCAGCCACCUCUGGGAAGUACUGUGAAUCGCAAACUGCUUUGAACAUCGACCUCUUGAACGCACAGGUUACUACUGACAGUUUAAUGAAUAUUAGUUCAGUCUAU
RNAcentral lists this ribosomal RNA (149 nucleotides) under Schistocephalus solidus. RNAcentral's name for it is "5.8S ribosomal RNA". It matches the Rfam family "5.8S ribosomal RNA". Rfam says of the family: 5.8S ribosomal RNA (5.8S rRNA) is a component of the large subunit of the eukaryotic ribosome. It is transcribed by RNA polymerase I as part of the 45S precursor that also contains 18S and 28S rRNA. Lineage: Eukaryota; Metazoa; Platyhelminthes; Cestoda; Diphyllobothriidea; Diphyllobothriidae. The record is from Rfam by way of RNAcentral.